CCAAUGAGACCUAAACUAAAACCUCCUCAAUCAAGUCGAGAGUGAACCAACAUGAGCGAGCCAUAUUAGAUUAAUUGAUCUAAUUGGUAUCAAGGAAAGCAUGAAAGGUGGUUACUUAAUUAGAACCUUACUCUCUGAGUAAGGAGAGCCUCCCACCUGCUUAUCUGGCCAAUUGUUCGUUUACCUCUUAUGAAGAGCUCAAGUUGCAA
RNAcentral lists this long non-coding RNA (209 nucleotides) under Phoenix dactylifera (date palm). RNAcentral describes it as "long non-coding RNA (PDAC_LNC010380)". The record is from RNAcentral. Lineage: Eukaryota; Viridiplantae; Streptophyta; Magnoliopsida; Arecales; Arecaceae.